AACCAUAGAAACCUGCGGAGUACCUGCGGAGGGAUCAUUAUGGUAUAUGGAAUCUCCAUUCUAUAAACCCACUCUGCGUAUCUUGUAACUGUUGCUUCCAUGGGACUUGGUUCCGCCACACCGGCUUCACGGCUGGUGAGCGCCCAUGGAAGGAGAAACAAAACUCUUCUUUGAAAUGUAGUCAGUCUGAACAAGUUUUUAUAAACGUUAAAACUUUCAGCAAUGGAUCUCAGAUCGGAA
RNAcentral lists this unclassified non-coding RNA (240 nucleotides) under soil metagenome. RNAcentral's name for it is "partial contains 5.8S ribosomal RNA, internal transcribed spacer 2, and large subunit ribosomal RNA". The record is from RNAcentral.